Molecule: ribosomal RNA, 371 nt
Filed under: uncultured bacterium
Lineage: Bacteria
Description: bacterial SSU rRNA
Rfam family: Bacterial small subunit ribosomal RNA
Source: RNAcentral
UACGGAGGGUGCAAGCGUUAUCCGGAUUUACUGGGUUUAAAGGGUGCGUAGGCGGCUCUUUAAGUCAGUGGUGAAAGCCUAGUGCUUAACACUAGAAUUGCCAUUGAAACUGAAGAGCUUGAGUCAAGGAGAGGUAAGCAGAAUUUAUGGUGUAGCAGUGAAAUGCUUAGAUACCAUAAGGAAUACCAAUAGCGAAGGCAGCUUACUGGCCUUGCACUGACGCUGAGGCACGAAAGCGUGGGGAGCAAACAGGAUUAGAGACCCUGGUAGUCCACGCUGUAAACGAUGAUCACUCGAUAUACAUACUUGAUAUGUGUGUCUGAGCGAAAGCAUUAAGUGAUCCACCUGGGGAGUACGCCCGCAAGAGUGAA